GUGUGUGUCGAUGGUCAGGAAGGAGAAAAAGGGGUUCAACCCUAGUUUCACAAAAAUCAUCAAAUUGAGAGGGAAAUUCAGCUCGGAUCUAAUGCAUGUACAUGAAUUCAUGAUCAUCUAGCCCUAUAAAUCACUUGGAUAGGAACUACAUUAACACGUACUCAAGCAUGGAAGGCAAACGGGUCAAGAUGAGGCAAGGAAGCGGCUACGAACACGGAUGCACAAGGUAUGCUAUGGUAGUCCAUCGUGAAGUUUUGAGGAAUUGGAAUGAAAGAUUGUACUCGGAAGGAUAAUCGAAAAGUCUGGCACACAUAGAAAGAUCGCGGCGUGGUCAAUUAAUUAUGUAUGAUAGAUUAUGAAUGUAGAUUAUCAAAUUUUAAUGAUGUGCAUGUUUGUGGUGAAUGUAGGUUACACGGUCUUUCGUCGGUUUAAAGCAUUGGAGGAUUGAAGAUCGAGUCAAGGGCAAAAAUUGUACGGGAAGAGUAGUCACGUAGCUCAAACACGUAUAUGUAAUUGAUGUGAAAAUUCAGAACGAACGAUGUAAACCCUUUAAUUAACUUUAAAAAUUU
Molecule: long non-coding RNA, 569 nt
Organism: Helianthus annuus (common sunflower)
Lineage: Eukaryota; Viridiplantae; Streptophyta; Magnoliopsida; Asterales; Asteraceae
Exons: 3
Source: RefSeq, a predicted model, not a curated record